GACGAACGCUGGCGGCGUGCUUAACACAUGCAAGUCGAACGGAAAGGCCCUGCUUUUGUGGGGUGCUCGAGUGGCGAACGGGUGAGUAACACGUGUGUAACCUGCCCUUGACUUUGGGAUAACUUCAGGAAACUGGGGCUAAUACCGUAUAGGAGCUCCUGCUGCAUGGUGGGGGUUGGAAAGUUUCGGCGGUUGGGGAUGGACUCGCGGCUUACCGGCUUGUUGGUGGGGUAGUGGCUUACCAAGGCAUUGACGGGUAGCCGGCCUGAGAGGGUGACCGGCCACAGUGUUCCUGAGAUACGGCCCAGACUGCUACAGGAGGCAAUAGUUGGGAAUAUUGCACAGUGGGUGGCAGCCUGUUGCGGUGACGCCGCGGUCGGUAUGACGGCCUUCGGGUUGGGAACCGCUUUCGCCUGUGACGAAGCGUGAAUGACGGUAAUGGAUAAAGAAGCACCGGCUAACUACGUG
This 468-nucleotide ribosomal RNA is filed under the name uncultured bacterium. Its description in RNAcentral is "partial 16S ribosomal RNA". It matches the Rfam family "Bacterial small subunit ribosomal RNA", at positions 28 to 507 of the family's 1533-position model. The record is from RNAcentral.